AUUGAACGCUGGCGGCAGGCCUAACACAUGCAAGUCGAACGAGUGGCGGACGGGUGAGUAAUGUCUGGGAAACUGCCUGAUGGAGGGGGAUAACUACUGGAAACGGUAGCUAAUACCGCAUACCAUCAGAUGUGCCCAGAUGGGAUUAGCUUGUUGGUGGGGUAACGGCUCACAAAGGCGACGAUCCCUAGCUGGGCUGAGAGGAUGACCGGCAAAACUGGAACUGAGACACGGUCCAGACGCCUACGGGAGGCAGCAGUGGGGAAUAUUGAACAAUGGGCGAAAGACUGAUGCAGCCAUGCCGCGUGUAUGAAGAAGGCUUUCGGGUUGUAAAGUAAUUUCAGCGGGGAGGCGUUACCCGCAGAAGAAGCACCGGCUAACUCCGUGCCAGCAGCCGCGGUAAUUC
RNAcentral lists this ribosomal RNA (406 nucleotides) under uncultured bacterium. RNAcentral's name for it is "partial 16S ribosomal RNA". It matches the Rfam family "Bacterial small subunit ribosomal RNA", at positions 30 to 526 of the family's 1533-position model. The record is from RNAcentral.